AUUGAACGCUGGCGGCAGGCCUAACACAUGCAAGUCGAGCGAGUGGCGGACGGGUGAGUAAUGUCUGGGAAACUGCCCGAUGGAGGGGGAUAACUACUGGAAACGGUAGCUAAUACCGCAUACCAUCGGAUGAGCCCAGAUGGGAUUAGCUAGUAGGUGGGGUAACGGCUCACCUGGGCGACGAUCCCUAGCUGGGCUGAGAGGAUGACCAGCCACACUUGAAUGGAGACACGGCCCAGACUCCUACGGGAGGCAGCAGUGGGGAAUAUUGCGCAAUGGGCGCAACCCUGACGCAGCCAUGCCGCGUGUAUGAAGAAGGCCUUCGGGUUGUAAAGUACUUUCGGUGAGGAGGCGUUACUCGCAGAAGAAGCACCGGCUAACUCCGUGCCAGCAGCCGCGGUAAUUC
RNAcentral lists this ribosomal RNA (406 nucleotides) under uncultured bacterium. RNAcentral's name for it is "partial 16S ribosomal RNA". It matches the Rfam family "Bacterial small subunit ribosomal RNA", at positions 30 to 526 of the family's 1533-position model. The record is from RNAcentral.